AACGGUCUAUACCUGCGGUACCUGCGGAGGGAUCAUUACCGAGUUUACAACUCCCAAACCCCAUGUGAACAUACCUGUUUCGUUCCCUCGGCGGUGUCCGGCAACGGCCCGCCAGAGGACCCAACAAACUCUUUUGAAUUUUUCAGUAUCUUCUGAGUGAAAAAAACAAUAAAUCAAAACUUUCAACAACGGAUCUCU
Molecule: unclassified non-coding RNA, 198 nt
Filed under: soil metagenome
Description: partial contains 5.8S ribosomal RNA, internal transcribed spacer 2, and large subunit ribosomal RNA
Source: RNAcentral